AGGGAAAGAAGGGGCUGCGGCUGCGGCGAUGGCAGCUGCAGUUGGAAGAGAAGAAGGAGAGGAAGAUGAGCAAGGGAGGAAGAAGAGGCUGUGGCCAUGGCUGAGGCUGCGACUGCAGUAGUGCAGCUGGGAAAGAAGAGAAGGAAAGGAAGAAGAAGAGAAAGGAAAAGGGAAGAAUAGAGGAAGAGGAGAAGGGGACGCAGUUGUGGCAGUGGCAGUUGCAGCUGGAAGAGAAGGAGAGGAAAUAGAGCAGGGGAGGAAGAAGAGGCUGCGACUGUGGUGGCUGCGACCAUGGCUGCGACUGCGACUGCGGCAGUUGCAGCUGGGAAAGAAAAGAAAGGAAAGGGGGAAAAAGGGGCUACGGACGGGAUUGCGGCCGCAGCGGCAUCGACUGCGUAUGCAGUAGUUAUGUCUGUGAGAGAAGGGAGCAAGGAAGUAGUAUAGUGGAAGGGGCUGCGGUUGUGACAGCAGCUGCGGUCGUGGCUACGACUGUGGUAGUGGCAGUGGCGAUGGCUGUGACAGCUAUGUUUGAAAAGAAAACGAAGGAAUGAGAGUAAGAGAGAGCAGGUGACUAUGCCUCUAUGUUCUGCAUGAGCUGCAAUUGUGGAGGAAAAAGA
RNAcentral lists this long non-coding RNA (617 nucleotides) under Musa acuminata (dwarf banana). RNAcentral describes it as "long non-coding RNA (MACU_LNC010140)". The record is from RNAcentral. Lineage: Eukaryota; Viridiplantae; Streptophyta; Magnoliopsida; Zingiberales; Musaceae.